Trichomonas vaginalis G3 is the source of this 764-nucleotide non-coding RNA. NCBI's taxonomy places the organism in Eukaryota, Parabasalia, Trichomonadida, Trichomonadidae. The record is from Rfam.
GAUUAGAGACCCUGGUAGUUCCUACCUUAAACGAUGCCGACAGGAGUUUGUCAUUUGUUAAUGGCAGAAUCUUUGGAGAAAUCAUAGUUCUUGGGCUCUGGGGGAACUACGACCGCAAGGCUGAAACUUGAAGGAAUUGACGGAAGGGCACACCAGGGGUGGAGCCUGUGGCUUAAUUUGAAUCAACACGGGGAAACUUACCAGGACCAGAUGUUUUUUAUGACUGACAGGCUUCGGGUCUUUCAGGAUAUUGUUUUUGGUGGUGCAUGGCCGUUGGUGGUGCGUGGGUUGACCUGUCUAGCGUUGAUUCAGCUAACGAGCGAGAUUAUCGCCAAUUAUUUACUUUGCCGAAGUCCUUCGGUUAAAGUUCUAAUUGGGACUCCCUGCGAUUUUAGCAGGUGGAAGAGGGUAGCAAUAACAGGUCCGUGAUGCCCUUUAGAUGCUCUGGGCUGCACGCGUGCUACAAUGUUAGGAUCAAUAGGACUGCGAGCCUGAGAGGGUGCGCUACUCUUAUAAUCCUAAACGUAGUUGGGAUUGACGUUUGUAAUCAGCGUCAUGAACCAGGAAUCCCUUGUAAAUGUGUGUCAACAACGCACGUUGAAUACGUCCCUGCCCUUUGUACACACCGCCCGUCGCUCCUACCGAUUGGAUGACUCGGUGAAAUCACCGGAUGCUUACGAGCAGAAAGUGAUUAAAUCACGUUAUCUAGAGGAAGGAGAAGUCGUAACAAGGUAACGGUAGGUGAACCUGCCGUUGGAUCAGUU